GUUUCUUUCUUUCUUUUAUUCUCUCUUUCUUUCUUUCUUUCUUUCUUUCUUUUAUUCUCUCUCUUUCUUUUAUUCUCUCUUUCUUUCUUUCUUUGAUUCUUUCUGUCUUUCUUUCUUUCUUUCUUUUAUUCUCUCUUUCUUUCUUUGAUUCUCUCUGUCUUUCUUUCUCUUUUAUUCUCUCUUUCUUUCUUUCUUUCUUUCUUUGAGUCUCUCUGUCUUUCUUUCUUUCUUUGAUUCUCUGUCUUUCUUUCUUUUAUUCUUUCUUUCUUUCUUUUUUCUCUCUUUCUCUCUUUCUUUCUUUCUUUUUUCUCUCUUUCUUUCUUUCUUUCUUUCUCUCUUUCUUUCUUUCUUUGAUUCUCUCUUUCUUUCUUUCUUUCUUUCUUUCUUUUAUUCUCUCUCUCUUUCUUUUAUUCUCUCUUUCUUUCUUUCUUUGAUUCUUUCUGUCUUUCUUUCUUUCUUUUAUUCUCUCUUUCUUUCUUUGAUUCUCUCUGUCUUUCUUUCUCUUUUAUUCUCUCUUUCUUUCUUUCUUUCUUUGAGUCUCUCUGUCUUUCUUUCUUUCUUUGAUUCUCUGUCUUUCUUUCUUUUAUUCUCUCUUUCUUUCUUUUUUCUCUCUUUCUUUCUUUCUUUUAUUCUUUCUGUCUUUCAUUCUUUUUUCUCUCUCUCUUUCUUUCUUUCUUUCUUUCUUUCUCUCUUUCUUUCUUUCCUUUAUUCUUUCUUUCUUUUUUUCUCUCUUUCUUUCCUUCUUUCUUGCUCUCUUUUAUUCUCUCUUUCUUUCAUUCUUUUAUUCGCUCUUUCUUUCUUUCUUAUUGUCUUUUAUUCUCUCUUUCUUUCUUUCUUUCUUUUAUUCUCUCUUUCUUUCUUUUUUCUCUCUUUCUUUCUUUCCUUUAUUCUCUCUUUCUUUCUUUUUUUUAUUCUUUCGCUUUCUUUCAUUCUUUCUUUGAUUCCCUCUUUCUUUCUCUUUCUUUCUUUGAUUCUUUCUUUCUUUCUUUCUUUGAGUCUCUCUGUCUUUCUUUCUUUCUUUUAUUCUCUCUUUCUUUCUUUCCUUUAUUCUUUCUUUCUUUCUUUCUUUCUUUUAUUCUCUCUUUCUUUCUUUUAUUCUCUCUUUUUCUUUCUUUCUUUUAUUCUCUCUUCCUUUCUUUCUUUCUUUUAUGCUCUCUUUCUUUCUUUCUUUUAUUCUUUCUGUCUUUUAUUCUUUUUUCUCUCUCUCUCUUUCUUUCUUUCUUUCUUUCUCUCUUUCUUUCUUUCCUUUAUUCUUUCUUUCUUUUUUUCUCUCUUUCUUUCCUUCUUUCUUGCUCUCUUUUAUUCUCUCUUUCUUUCAUUCUUUUAUUCGCUCUUUCUUUCUUUCUUUCUGUCUUUUAUUCUCUCUUUCUUUCUUUCUUUCUUUUAUUCUCUCUUUCUUUCUUUGAUUCUCUCUGUCUUUCUUUCUCUUUUAUUCUCUCUUUCUUUCUUUCUUUCUUUGAGUCUCUCUGUCUUUCUUUCUUUCUUUGAUUCUCUGUCUUUCUUUCUUUUAUUCUCUCUUUCUUUCUUUUUUCUCUCUUUCUUUCUUUCCUUUAUUCUCUCUUUCUUUCUUUCUUUCAUUCUUUCUCUUUCUUUCAUUCUUUCUUUGAUUCCCUCUUUCUUUCUCUUUCUUUCUUUGAUUCUUUCUUUCUUUCUUUCUUUGAUUCUCUCUGUCUGUCUUUCUUUCUUUCUUUUAUUCUCUCUUUCUUUCUUUCUUUCUUUCUUUCUUUCUUUUAUUCUCUCUUUCUUUCUUUUAUUCUCUCUUUUUUUCUUUCUUUCUUUUAUUCUCUCUUCCUUUCUUUCUUUCUUUUAUGCUCUCUUUCUUUCUUUCUUUUAUUCUUUCUGUCUUUCAUUCUUUUUUCUCUCUCUCUUUCUUUCUUUCUUUCUUUCUUUUUCUUUCCUUUAUUCUUUCUUUCUUUUAUUCUCUCUUUCUUUCCUUCUUUCUUGCUCUCUUUUAUUCUCUCUUUCUUUCUUCUAUUCCCUCUUUCUUUCUUUCUUUCUUUUUCUGUCUUUCUUUCAUUCUUUUAUUCUCUCUGUCUUUCUUUCUUUCUUUUAUUCUUUCUAUCUUUCUUCCUUUCUUUGAUUCUCUCUGUCUUUCAUUCUUUUAUUCUCUCUUUCUUUCUUUCUUUCUUUCUGUCUUUUAUUCUCUCUUUCUUUCUUUCUUUCUUUCUUUUAUUCUUUCUGUCUUUCUUUCUUUUAUUCUCUCUUUCUUUCUUUCUUUCUUUUAUUCUCUCUGUCUUUCUUUCUUUCUUUUAUUCUCUUUCUUUCUUUCAUUCUUUUAUUCUUUCUGUCUUUCUUUCUUUUAUUCUCUCUGUCUUUCUUUCCUUUAUUCUCUCUUUCUUUCUUUCUUUUAUUCUCUCUUUCUUUCAUUCUUUUUUCUCCCUUUCUUUCUCUCUUUCUUUCUUUCUUUUAUUCUCUCUUUCUUUCUUUCUUUUAUUCUCUCUUUCUUUCCUUCUUUCUUGCUCUCUUUAAUUCUCUUUCUUUCUUCUAUUCCCUCUUUCUUUCUUUCUUUCUUUCUUUCUUUGAUUCUCUGUCUUUCUUUCUUUUAUUCUCUCUUUCUUUCUUUCUUUUUUUCUGUCUUUCUUUCUUUCUUUUUUCUUUCUUUCUUUCUUUCUUUGAUUCUCUCUGUCUUUCUUUCUUUCUUUUAUUCUCUCUUUUUCUUUCUUUCUUUUAUUCUCUCUUCCUUUCUUUCUUUCUUUUAUGCUCUCUUUCUUUCUUUCUUUUAUUCUUUCUGUCUUUCAUUCUUUUUUCUCUCUCUCUUUCUUUCUUUCUUUCUUUCUCUCUUUCUUUCUUUCCUUUAUUCUUUCUUUCUUUUUUUCUCUCUUUCUUUCCUUCUUUCUUGCUCUCUUUUAUUCUCUCUUUCUUUCUUCUAUUCCCUCUUUCUUUCUUUCUUUCUUUGAUUCUCUCCGUCUUUCAUUCUUUUAUUCUCUCUGUCUUUCUUUCUUUCUUUUAUUCUUUCUAUCUUUCUUCCUUUCUUUGAUUCUCUCUGUCUUUCAUUCUUUUAUUCUCUCUUUCUUUCUUUCUUUCUUUCUGUCUUUUAUUCUCUCUUUCUUUCUUUCUUUCUUUUAUUCUUUCUGUCUUUCUUUCUUUUAUUCUCUCUUUCUUUCUUUCUUUCUUUUAUUCUCUCUGUCUUUCUUUCUUUCUUUUAUUCUCUUUCUUUCUUUCAUUCUUUUAUUCUUUCUGUCUUUCUUUCUUUUAUUCUCUCUGUCUUUCUUUCCUUUAUUCUCUCUUUCUUUCUUUCUUUUAUUCUCUCUUUCUUUCAUUCUUUUUUCUCUCUUUCUUUCUCUCUUUCUUUCUUUCUUUGAUUCUCUGUCUUUCUUUCUUUCUUUUAUUCUCUCUUUCUUUCUUUUAUUCUCACUUUCUUUCCUUCUUUCUUGCUCUCUUUAAUUCUCUUUCUUUCUUCUAUUCCCUCUUUCUUUCUUUCUUUCUUUGAUUCUCUGUCUUUCUUUCUUUUAUUCUCUCUUUCUUUCUUUCUUUUUUUCUGUCUUUCUUUCUUUCUUUUUUCUUUCUUUCUUUCUUUCUUUGAUUCUCUCUGUCUUUCUUUCUUUCUUUUAUUCUCUCUUUCUUUCUUUCCUUUAUUCUUUCUUUCUUUCUUUCUUUUAUUCUCUUUCUUUCUUUUUUCU
This is a non-coding RNA of Xyrichtys novacula (pearly razorfish), 3620 nucleotides long. The record is from the annotation of a GenBank genome assembly. Lineage: Eukaryota; Metazoa; Chordata; Actinopteri; Labriformes; Labridae.